This 68-nucleotide transfer RNA is filed under the name Andrias davidianus (Chinese giant salamander). RNAcentral describes it as "tRNA-Tyr". The record is from RNAcentral. Lineage: Eukaryota; Metazoa; Chordata; Amphibia; Caudata; Cryptobranchidae.
UGAUAAAAAAAGGACUUUAACCUUUAUAAAAGGGGUUACAACCCUGCACUUGCUUCAGUCAUUUUACC